RNAcentral lists this ribosomal RNA (648 nucleotides) under uncultured Clostridium sp. RNAcentral describes it as "bacterial SSU rRNA". It matches the Rfam family "Bacterial small subunit ribosomal RNA", at positions 91 to 758 of the family's 1533-position model. The record is from RNAcentral. Lineage: Bacteria; Bacillati; Bacillota; Clostridia; Eubacteriales; Clostridiaceae.
GGGAGCGGCGGACGGGUGAGUAACGCGUGGGUAACCUGCCCUGUACACACGGAUAACAUACCGAAAGGUAUGCUAAUACGGGAUAACAUAAGAAAGUCGCAUGGCUUUCUUAUCAAAGCUUUUGCGGUACAGGAUGGACCCGCGUCUGAUUAGCUAGUUGGUAAGGUAACGGCUUACCAAGGCGACGAUCAGUAGCCGACCUGAGAGGGUGAUCGGCCACAUUGGAACUGAGACACGGUCCAAACUCCUACGGGAGGCAGCAGUGGGGAAUAUUGCACAAUGGGCGAAAGCCUGAUGCAGCAACGCCGCGUGAGCGAUGAAGGCCUUCGGGUCGUAAAGCUCUGUCCUCAAGGAAGAUAAUGACGGUACUUGAGGAGGAAGCCCCGGCUAACUACGUGCCAGCAGCCGCGGUAAUACGUAGGGGGCUAGCGUUAUCCGGAAUUACUGGGCGUAAAGGGUGCGUAGGCGGUCUUUCAAGUCAGAAGUGAAAGGCUACGGCUCAACCGUAGUAAGCUUUUGAAACUGUAAGACUUGAGUGCAGGAGAGGAGAGUGGAAUUCCUAGUGUAGCGGUGAAAUGCGUAGAUAUUAGGAGGAACACCAGUUGCGAAGGCGGCUCUCUGGACUGUAACUGACGCUGAGGCACGAAA